This is a long non-coding RNA of Alnus glutinosa, 448 nucleotides long. RefSeq lists it as uncharacterized. Lineage: Eukaryota; Viridiplantae; Streptophyta; Magnoliopsida; Fagales; Betulaceae. The record is from RefSeq and is a predicted model, not a curated record. The transcript has 4 exons.
CUCUCAAAAUUCUCUUGGAUCUACAACUCUCUCUUCUCUCUCUUUCGGUUCAAGCAAAGAGAAGAACCCUCUUCUUCUUGUUUGGAGUCUUGCGGAGGGUGGUGUGAAACACAAGAAAGAAUUCUUUCCCUUUGAUUGCAUCAAAAGAAACGAAGAUCCUUUCCUACUUCCCUCACUCGGCCAACACUAGGAGAAGUUCUCUCCAUUUCUCUCGGGUGCCUUGCAACAAAAAGGAAAGAAGGAUCUCAUCUCUCUCAGGUUUUGAGUAAGUGAACGUAUGUUCGUAAAUACUUUCUGAAGAAAGAACAGUUAUGAGGAGGAGGAGUAUCAAGAUUAUCCAGACUCUUAGGUGAUCUUGAUGGCAGUGUCUAAGGCUAGACCACUCACAUUUUGUGCACUACUGUGUUUAGUCUAUUAUCAUAAUAUUCGGAGAACAAUAUUUAUAUAU